Pimephales promelas (fathead minnow) is the source of this 729-nucleotide long non-coding RNA. RefSeq lists it as uncharacterized. The record is from RefSeq and is a predicted model, not a curated record. Lineage: Eukaryota; Metazoa; Chordata; Actinopteri; Cypriniformes; Leuciscidae.
AUAUAAAAUUAAAGAUAUUUUAAAUUGUUAAAUGUUAUAAUUCUAGAUGUUUAUUUAAAUGCUGCGUGCCUUUUGACGUGUUCUAUGGUUUCAAUAUGGGCGUACGUGCGCGAGUCGCAUUCAAAUCUGAUUCAAAGACAGGAGCGCGCGCGAGCAGAUGGAAACCAUGGAAACGAGGAAACCCAUCAACUGACAAACAGCAGCGUCUCUCACUGUUGUUUUCUCUGCUUUCAGAUCAUCAUAGAUGUCCUGCUGCACCCCCUGGGGUCCAAGACAAUCUCCACGGCUAUGACCUCGACUAUAGGGGUUAUGGCUGUGCUCUUGUUACCAGAUGAGAUAUCAUUUGAUCCUGUGAUUCUUCAGGACAAGAUCUUGAUGCCAUCCACACCCAGUACAUGACGAAGGUUUUCUGGGAUCCACAGUGGAAGGCAUCAAGGCGUGAGAUGUUGGCUGGACAGAUGUACCUGUACACCACACCGACCUCUGCUUUUACAUGGAUGGCGGAUUACUAUCAUGUUCUGUAAAGGUUUCAUUAUAGCAAAACAGAGCACCUGUGACAGUGGAAUCUGUAGGUGUAACGUAGUCAGUUAAAAGUAGUCAGGUGUAAAGUAGUCACAGAGAGAACGUUUUUUUUUUUUUAAGUUUCAAACUUUUUUCUCUUUCACAAAAAACACUGCAGUUACAGCUUUUCAAAUUCUUCAUUGGAGGUGUACAAAUAAUUUUCUUUUU